UGCAGUGAUAGGCGACAGGUCAGAAAAGCAUUUCAGAAUAAUUUUACACCUUUUAACCUUAAAAAAUACUUUGCUGACAAUUGAGAAAGGGCCUUAAAAGAAGCGCUGAUAGGCAUUCUCACAGCAGGGUUGCCAUGUCCCAUCACAUAGCAGAGGGUUUCUGCAUAAUGUAUCCUGUAAUAAGAAGUGUACUGCAAAUCACCGGGCUUGAGUAGCAGUUUUAAGAAAGUAAUCCUUGGCAUGAACUGCUAUUAGUGAUGACACUGAAAGUUUGUUACGUAAAACUCUUUAGAAGACACAAAGAAGGCAAACUGUUUAAAAUUUAGAUUCGAGCCUUAAAAGAACUACUUUGUCAUAGAAAUUUAUCUGCAUUUAAAUAUAUAUUUAGUGUGCUCUGUUUUGUUUUUUGGUGGGUUUUUUUUUCAUUUUUGCUUAUGCUUGGACAGACUCGUUAAACAGAAACCACAGAAUUUUGUUAAAUGAAUGUCACUUUUCUCUCAUUCCAUGACACAAAUGGUAAUUGUUCCAAAAGCAUCUUAAUAAUUACUGGUGUUAAUUAUGAAUGUUAAUACAGUCAAUGAUCACUCAGAGUCCCCAUGUUGAAAACCCUUUAUAAAUGAAGUAAAAACUUUUAAAAAAACCCCAAAAAACAUUUAAAAUUCCAGUAUAACAAAGACUAAAUCAGUCCAUCAAAGCACAGCAAGCUAUAUUCAUGUUUUAAUGGCUAGACUAAUCAAAAUGGGAUAUGAAUCUACAAGAAACCUUCUUGUUGAAAUUAAUUUUGUAUUUGUCUGGAAAUGUAAAUAAAAGAAAAUGCGAAGGGGCCAUUUCCAGGCAAGUUCUUUUCAGUGUUAAUGAUGCAAAUCAGUGAAGUUUCUCAGUCCCUGGGGAAUCUUUUUGUCUUUCUCAUUUCCAUAAGAAUGAUUUUUAGAUGAUUAAAAUAAAAAUCUAAUGGAAAAAAAUUCUUUAUACUUUUCUCACAAUACAGUUUAGUAGGUAUCUGGAAAAAAAUAACAAAAAAGAAAAAAACACCAACAAAAUUAGCUGGAAUUGACUUUACAAUUAUAAUAAACCUUCCUAGGAGAGUAUUGGUCACAAAAUGUUUUUGCAUUUCUAAUGGAGACAUUUUUGGUUGUCUUUAGAAGUAUUUGAUAGAAGUUGAAGUCCUCUGAAAGCGUGAUGUUUCAAUGUAACUCCAAAAUUUUCUCAGCAGCUACUAAGGGGUAAUGAAACGUUUCAUUGUUUUGUUUUCUAAGUGAGCAGUAUGAGAAACAGGCAGAGACAUAAUAAUUAAAAUUUUGGCUUUCUGUAUUUUUGGCAAAUAUUUUUUUUUUCAGAGCUAGAUUGUUCCUGAAGAUCAAGGACUGUAUUGAUAGUGCCAUACUGGAGAAGCAUUGAUGAUUUUAAUCUGCUUUUAAUCCCAUCCUUCCUCCAGAAAGAAACUACCUGCGUGACUCAAUAAAAAGCUGCUAUUAAACCAUGGCUUUGCUAUAAGGCAAGAUACACCCCACAGUGGUUCAGUGGAUUGGUUUUACUUUCCCUCUUCGUCCAGGGAACAGGAAAUGGCAAAAAAUGAAGGUUGUCAUAGUCUGUGUUAGCCCCAUGUCCAGCACAGCCAACACCUCUCUCCCUUCCAUGACCAUGGCCACGUUCCCGGUUUAAUGGGUGAAUAUAGGACUAAAUAAUGCUCUGCUAUCCUGACCCACUCUGCACAGAGAGAGCAGCAGCAUCCCAGGCUCUGCUGGCACACACACAGAGGAACAAGUGUGUGCACUGAAACGUGUACAUGUGCACACCUCCUUGUGCAACAGGAGCAGGGACAGCCUGCAGGGCACAUGAGCGAGCCCUGGCCCUGCUGAUGCCCUCCAGCAGGCAGCACAGCUCUCCCCCACACUGGCAGGAGAAGGCAGGUGGCAGGAGUAACCCUGGAGAGAGCUCAGAGCAGGAACUGCUGCUGGGCUGCACAUCCAGGAGCAGAGAAGAUGACACAAGAGAUUGUAAGAUUAUAUUCUUAUUUGCAGGCAGUGCUCAGCCAAACUAGUGUCCUCAAUGUUCACUAGUUGUUGUAAAUUGCCCAGGCCCGAGCAAAAAAGCAAGACAGUGUUUUUAGUUUGCUCAGACAGGAUGUCCAGUGAGAGAAGAGCAGAGAUGCAGGAAGCUGCUUUGCACAGGCAGGGAACCCCACUGUGGAUUCCAGGCUGCAAGGAGGCUGCAAGCAGGAGACACAACAAGGAACCAAUUCUCUGUGCUAUUCCCAACCAAUGCACUCUUGUGGAAUAGGGAGAGUCAGUAGGGAGCUGCAGCCCUCCAGGAAAUUCACAUAGAAAUGGAGUUGGAGAUUACUGUCGUUUAGGACUGGAUUGCUUCCCACUAGGUUUCCUCUUCAGUUGCUAAUGAGCCACCAAGGAGAAUCAAGUUGUUCUCAGGACUGCUUGGGUCUUGGUUUUGGGUUUGAGUUGUGGAGGAAAGAACAGAGCUCUUGGGCCGGCUAUGGGAUCAGAUGGUACAGGGGACAACUGUUCAGGGAAAAUACACUGGUGUCUGAUGCCUCCAUGACUCUGGGAGGAGAUUUCCUUCUUAAUCACUCUCCAUAGCUCCUGGCUGAAGACUUCCUCUCCUGCUCCAGCCUUCCCCAGCCCUGAAAGGUGUCUCCCCCAGCUCCAAAUGGGGAGACUUAUGAAAUGUUCCUGGCUGUGGUGAAGUCAGAGGAUGCUCAAGCUCCAUUAUUCAACAGACAGUAGUCAAAAGCCACAAAACCUGAAAUGGGGUCUAAAAUCUCAAAAUGAACAAAACCAGAAUUAAUACUUUAUAAUGAUUUUUAAACAACAAUACUUGGAAGUACGUUUCAACAUUGACUUAUUAAUUGUUUGCUAUCUGAUGUUAAUAUUGGAAAGGUGACUUUUCAAGCUAUUCUCCAGACCCUGAGGAUGUAUAUUUUCUCUUUUCCUUAACAUGGAGAGAACACAAAAGCCCAAAGUUUAAAAAGAAAUACACUAUACUUCAUGAGAUCAUGAUAUAUGACCACACUACCGCUCCAUAAGUUUAAUGCUGUUCUUGCUCCAUCUGUUUGGGUGAGGCAAGGAACAAAUUCCAGGAAAGCUCUUUGAAGUCUUUAAGGGAAGAAACUCCUUUCCAUCUGCCACUCCUCCUCACAGUGGAGUCCUGAGCCUUAUGCCUUGCCUCUACAUCCACACAAACCCCUAAACAGCCCACACUACGUGCCAUAACCAGCAAGGUGAGAGGGAGGGUCAAAGUGAAGUGCUCCUCAAGGCACCUUCCCCUGACUACCCUGGAGUCAGCCCUGCCUGCCUGUGCAAAAUCCUUUGCUCAGCCCCCUUGUCACCAAAGGCUAAAACAUUUAUUCUAAAAAAAAAUAAAUACACACAAUUUUAAAUGUAGGACAUGGCCAGUGCUUUAUACAAUCCUUUACAGACACCCACUGCCCAGUGCAUUUGCCUGAGGUUUAUGAGGCUCUAGUCCCACCCCUUUGUGGAAGGAUGUUUUCUCCUAUUCCCAGAGUGUGCUUGCUGCCUGGCUAGGAGCUUGCUUGCUGGAGCAUUGCCACAGAACAUCCAGUCAUUUGCUUUCAGUGGCAUGCCAAAGAGAAGGAACAUGACCCUGUAGCCUAAGGACUGAGUGCAGAUACUUGGAAUUUUCUUACGUUGGAAAGAAAGAUCUGAGAGGUAAAAUCAGCCUUGUCCCAACCUUUCCCUCUGAGCACAUGCAACUGUAUAGAGAUUGGGCACUUCUUCAGUGAGAUACGAGUUUGAUUUCUCUCAGGCAGAGAAAAAAUUGCACCUAAAUCUGCAAUUUCCUAAGGAAAUAGAAGAGCAUUGUGGAUACUGGACAGACACUGAUGCUACAUAUUAUAGGGAUCCUGGUCUGGCACAUCAGGUAGGCACAACUUGCUCAGCUUGCUAAGACCUUUGCUGGUUGUAAUCUAAACUCUUCCCUGGGCUUGGAGGGUGUUAUCUGGAAGGGGCUGUAGCUGGUAGCUUGUGAGCUGUUCCAUUUGGUCCAGGCCUCCCCCUGCCUGUUGCCAAGAGACACUUUGCAAUGUGCAUCCUGCAGCCUCCCCUCACCAGUUAGGUACAACUCCAGUGUGUUCCCCUCUUUGUCCUCAAAAUGUAGCGUUAUGGAUUGCAGCCUUGUAGAUGCCAGGCAGGGAUGAGCCUGUUCUGGGAAAUAGGUCCAGCAGACCUGCAGAAAGUGUAACUGGAUACUACACAGCUGACAUGAACUGAUGUGGAAAUGCUGUCAGCUCAUCCAGUCAGAAACCUGUUUGAGGCUGUGCCAUCUGCACACUCCACUGGCUGCUCCCAGCCGGUGCCCGCUGCUGCUCAGGGCUGGAGACAGGACUGCUGCUCCUGGAGCCUCAGAGCUGUUCCUUUCCCUUGGCAGUAACUUCCUGCACAGUCCUGUGGUGUGGGCUGGCUGGGGCUGAACAGGGUGAUGUCAAGCUGGGGUGAGCUUUCCAACCUGCAGGUUGUGUGAGUACAUGUUGCUCAAGAGAUGAAGAUGCUCAUGGUGGCUGCUCUGUCCAUUCAUUCAUUUAUUUGUGCUAGUUUUUCAGGAAAUAUCCCUGCAUCUUGAACAGGUUCUUUGUCUGGUGAGCCACAGAAAAGGCAAAAUGAGGUCCUGUAAGAAAAGAGAUCUGGCUGCAAUGCUUUUUUUUCUUCCCUUACCCUUUUCUUCUAGACUGGAUCAAUAAUUUCCUCAUGUGAAUCCCAGGAAUAUCUGCAAAGUAAGUUAAAGGAGGGGUUGUUUUCCUGACCACUCCACUUGGAACAGAAAAACAAGUGGUCUGGCAUCUUUCAGAGUAAAAUGGAAGAAUCCUGAAAACACUAAUGUUUUCAUGGAGCUAGACAGCCUCCAAGUAGGAAUUACAAUUAUGAAUUUAGACAUCUUGAAAUGCCUUUAUGCUGUUUCAGAAGCCUAAAUCCACCUGACUGUGUUGGGGUGUGUCUAUGAUCCACUUGAGGAGAACUUCAAGGCACAGAGAUAGUGAAUUCUUACCAGACUUUAUAAUAUCACAAGAAUGAAAUUGAAAUUGCGCACCCACUGAAAUGGUUUUUAAUUAUCCUGUCAUGGUGUUGGGAAGAUCCUCUGUAAGUUUUCUGGAACCAUGCUUUCAGGAUGAGACCUGCACAAGUUAUAUCCCUCAGAGAAGUGAUAUGAGAUGGGAUAGCACUGGUGCAGGUGUAAUAGGAGAGCUUUAGAAGUGUUAGAGAAGUUCAGAAGUGUGAAUUUUCUUCACUAAGAGGGUAAAUCAGUCAGGAUAAUGAAUCCUGUUACAAUUAAUUAAUUAGUGCAUUCAUUGGGAAGGACUAUGAAAAGUCUAGCUACUUAUCCUAGAAGACAGGCUGAAGCCAAUACUAAAUUUACAUUUCAGUAAAUAUCCCAGAGGAUGUGAACAGGAAGACCAACCUGUUUCACAUUUGCAGAAAAGUGUAGCUCUGUUGCUGUUCCACUGCUCUCAGUGGGAGACGAAUUCUCCCCAAAAGAGGAAUUCUCAAGAGGAAGCUUGAGGAAGCAAUAUCGCCCUACCACACUUUUUCAUGGAGGAGAUUGGAAAUGCAUCAUACUUCUGCAAAGGUUCUAACAAGCAGUUUUGACGUGCUCCCCAAGGCAAAAUGUAGCCACUGAAUAAGCUGUGUUAGGGUUCUAGGAAUUCAGGUUUUAAACUCCUAAGAAAUCUUCCUGCAUCACCGAUGCAUUUCACUUUGGUUUUUUUUGGGUUUUUUUUGUCCCGGAGAGUGGCACCUCAAACCGCACAGAAAUCCACCCAACUCCCAGUCUUAAAAUCCGCGCUCGCCUUAGGUCCGCAGCUCAUGAAAAAGUUGUCCUGGGAAAGAUGCGUCCCCUCCCCUCCUCCUCCUCCUCCCUGCAGCAGGAGCCAUUGUCUGCCGGCGGCAAGGCAUAAAGGAGUUAACGAAGGAGCCGGCGAGGAGUUUUACCAAGUCCACCGAAGUCUAUCUAGCCUAUCACUCCUACUGUCCUGAUAGUAUCAGAGAGCACUGAAGCUCAAGAAGGGGAUUGUUUGCUGAAUUCUCCCUGUCUUUUGCCCUUGAACUGCUGGAGCUGCAUUUCAUAGGAUUUUGCAAUCAGAGGAACUCUGGGAGUUAUUGGCAUCAUGGUUGCCCCACUGCCUUGAAGUGAGGGUGGAGAGUGGAGAAGUGUAUCAUGAAGAUGAAAGAAAUUUGCAAAGAUUUUUGGGUUUCUGGAAUUCAAGUCUGUGGAGGAGAUCAGCUGCUGGUGUCUGUUGUGGGAAGGUAUAAGAGAGAAUGGAGACCCUUUGCAUGAGCCAUUGUCAGCUAAAAUCAGUGAUGAAAGUCCUAUUGAAAAGAGCCUCUGGAUCAAAUCAAAACCUGUUUUCCUGAGAGUGACAUUGCCUGCAAAUGGAGGCAGAUUGAGGUUCCUAACUGGCCAGUGCUUUGGACACAUUCUGCUUACUUCAGUCACACGAAAUGACGUAUUGAUGCAAGUUUCCAGGAUCCAAACAGGCAGCCCUUUCAUAGGCAAAAGCCCUAAUGAAGUCACUGGCAGGCAGCCUCGCUGGCCUAAGGCCUGCAGGCUAUUUCCCUAGUCAAUACACUGGACCUAAUCUUAUACCCCUUGAGCAUCAAACUCCAUGUGUAUUUUCUGCAAGUAUUUGUUCUCUUUCUGCAGAAGUGCAAGAUUUGUGUGCUGUGGAGUGCGGUGUCAGUGAGCAGCUGCUUCUCCUUCAGCAUGAGUUGUUCAGCACACAGACUUCAUUGGCUACUGGUGGGACAAAACCACGCUGCAAAGCAGAGGCGAGGAGCAGCGAGGACCUAGGCUGCCAAAUACAAACCUCCUGCUUUAGUUUGUGUCUGGGAACAAAGCAAAACAAAAGUAUUAAAGCAAAAGAACGUUCUAAAAGGCUUCAGCAAAUAUUAAGAAAAUAUGUAUUUUUACCUGGUAAUCUGACUUCUUCUAAUUUAGUGGAACAUGUAAACUCCUCUGGUUAAGUCAAAUGCAAUCAGUGGAGCUGAUUUACAAUGAGUUAAGAGUUACCUUGCAAAAUGGAUUUCAUUAGCUCUUUGUAAGCUUAGUCCUUCUGCUUUCUGAUCAGUCAGCUGGAAUUAUUUUUCCCAUUCCUAGCAGUGUUAAGAAAUAUAGAUUGGAAUGGCAGCUUCAUAUAUUACCUUGGUUAAAAGUUUUCAUAAAAUGCUAAGUUAAAAUGGUAAAAAUCAUAAGGAUAUUUCCAUAAGAAUGCUUUGUUUCAGGCAAGGAAUUUGUAUUUGUUCUUUCUUUCUGGAAUUUUUUAUUAAAGAGUUUCCCAUGAGCAAAUUUUGUAAUGCAAUGCCCAAUAAAAUUAAAAAGCAUCUUUUAGAACUGAAAAAUUACUAUCUCCUCCACACAUCUCAGAAAAUUAUAGAUUUAUUAAAAUUCUUCUCAGAUUUUUUUUUCUUACAAGUUUUGUACAUCUUCUGCAAUGCACCUGUAGGCAGGUGCCCAGAAGGAGCCAAGAAAGCAGCUUCUGUGUGUAGUGGAUGGAUUAGGGCUGAACUGCUGAACUGGAUGGCAACAACUUGGCCUGGAAGUAAAAGAGGAGGGAGUGAAGGUAAUCCAGAUUACCAAUUAAUUGUGUGUCCUCCCUGUUACCAGAUCCCUGUCACUUGGUAGGGUAAAUGCUCACAGUUCAUGCAAAACCACCCUGACAGGCUCUGCCUCUAGCUGUGCUAGAUCAGAUCCAAACCCACAGGCAGGCUCUCAGCUCAAAUAUAUCUGAAAAUGUGGGCCUUAAAUAUUUAUCUUUCUCUGGGACUGACUUCCUUUGACAGCCUGCAUCCAUGUUGUCAUCAUGCUUGGUGUGCUAUAAAUACAUCCAUGAUCCAAUCAACUAAUACCAGGUCCUUAUCACAACAAGCUCACGCACCUCACCGUGUGCUCAAGGAGUUAUCUUUCUAUCUGCUUUUUAAAGAUGAAACUAAUCCAUUGUAAGCCCCGUAACAAGGAGCCACUCGCAGGGUAAAAGUAUAAGUGCAGUUUUUAAAUGGUAUUGUAUUUGUCUCACGAUGCUUGCCAUUAAAGACACAGGUAUGAAAAGAUGCUCUCUGUUUUUAUGCAGCACUGCUGUGGAGAUAGAGUACUAUUUUCCUUGUGGUUGCCAAAGGAGUUGUGCAUGGUUUAAUUAGAAUGUAUUAUGAUCCUAAGGCUUUUUCUUUUUUAAAGUAAAGUCAAGUAUCCUACCGAAGACAUGGGACAUUCAUACACCCAAAUCUGUGUCAGCAUCCUGCUUGGCAGUAAGAGCUUUUGCAGAAACAUCUGAUUGCAGAGUCAGAAUUCAACAAAGCAAGAAGAAACAGGCUGAAGAGCAACUACCUAAGUACAUGCAGUAACACAGAGAGUGGAAGCGGAACUGAGAGAACAAUAAAUGAAGAAACAAUGAAAAGGUCAAGCACUUAUUCAGGAUUUGUGAGUACAGAUAUUGCAGUUCAAACAGUGCAGGUGAAAAAUGAAAUUCUGUCUCUUCACAAAUAUUUCUUUUCCUCCAUAUUUCUGUUUUCCAGCUCUUGAAUAUCACCAAGGGAAAUCUUACUUAUAGAUAG
Catharus ustulatus (Swainson's thrush) is the source of this 8573-nucleotide long non-coding RNA. RefSeq lists it as uncharacterized. Lineage: Eukaryota; Metazoa; Chordata; Aves; Passeriformes; Turdidae. The transcript is spliced from 3 exons. The record is from RefSeq and is a predicted model, not a curated record.